CCGGCGACCGGCGCACGGGUGAGUAACGCGUAUGCAACUUACCUAUCAGGAGGGGGAUAACCCGGCGAAAGUCGGACUAAUACCGCAUGAAGCAGGGGCCCGCAUGGGGAUAUUUGCUAAAGAUUCAUCGCUGAUAGAUAGGCAUACGUUCCAUUAGGCAGUUGGCGGGGUAACGGCCCACCAAACCGACGAUGGAUAGGGGUUCUGAGAGGAAGGUCCCCCACAUUGGUACUGAGACACGGACCAAACUCCUACGGGAGGCAGCAG
Molecule: ribosomal RNA, 267 nt
Filed under: uncultured bacterium
Lineage: Bacteria
Description: partial 16S ribosomal RNA
Rfam family: Bacterial small subunit ribosomal RNA
Source: RNAcentral